Mesocricetus auratus (golden hamster) is the source of this 696-nucleotide long non-coding RNA. RefSeq lists it as uncharacterized. The record is from RefSeq and is a predicted model, not a curated record. Lineage: Eukaryota; Metazoa; Chordata; Mammalia; Rodentia; Cricetidae. The transcript has 2 exons.
CUGACAUCGCAGAGCCAGCAGAACCUUACUGGACUCCUCCUUGCUCCUGGUCGUUUCGUUCUAAUCUUUGAAAUUCCUUGACUUACACCUGUGUCGUUCCAGUCUCUGUCUUGGUGUGUACUUGGCAGGUCCCGGACUAGCACCUAUGUCACCGCCCGGUUUUCCUGUAAGGACACCAACCAUCUGACUGACUCCAGUGUAGAGUAACUUCAUUUAAAAUAGAUUUUUUGUCAUUUUGAAAUGAAGCCAUCUUCUAAGGUUUUCAAGCAGAUGUGACUCUGAGGAAAUCACCGUGUAACCUGGUUUAACAAGAAACUUAACACUGCAGGAGAGCAGAGCAGAGCGUGCCGGAAUAAGCAGAGGAAGCAGCAAGGAGAGACCGAAGUCAGCUACAACUCGUAACAGACAGAGUACAAAGGAAAGACCAUGUUGGGGAAAGUGCCAGAGCUAAUGACUAAAAGCCAGGAGCCACUGAAUCUACAAGACUCGGGCAGUUUCAGUCGUUGCCUGGUGCCAACGUCCCUCGAGGUCCUUACCACUCCCUGAACUUAAAGCAACCUGGCAGCAGAUGCAAACUCCUGGUUCCUUCUCCAGCACCAUGUCAGCCUGUUCACAGACAUGGUUCCCACCAUGAUGAUAAUGGACAAAACUUCUGAAGUGUAAACCAGCACCAAUUAAAUGUUUUUCUUCAUAAGA